This 391-nucleotide ribosomal RNA is filed under the name uncultured bacterium. RNAcentral describes it as "bacterial SSU rRNA". It matches the Rfam family "Bacterial small subunit ribosomal RNA", at positions 28 to 424 of the family's 1533-position model. The record is from RNAcentral.
GACGAACGCUGGCGGCGUGCUUAACACAUGCAAGUCGAGCGGUAAGGCCCUUUCGGGGGUACACGAGCGGCGAACGGGUGAGUAACACGUGGGUGACCUGCCUUUAGCUCUGGGAUAAGCCUGGGAAACUGGGUCUAAUACCGGAUAUGACUCCAUGAUGCAUGUUGUGGGGUGGAAAGCCUUGUGCGGCUGGAGAUGGGCCCGCGGCCUAUCAGCUUGUUGGUGGGGUGAGGCCUACCAAGGCGACGACGGGUAGCCGGCCUGAGAGGGCGACCGGCCAUACUGGGACUGAGACACGGCCCAGACUCCUACGGGAGGCAGCAGUGGGGAAUCUUGCGCAAUGGGCGAAAGCCUGACGCAGCGACGCCGCGUGAGGGAUGACGGCCUGGUU